GACGAACGCUGGCGGCGUGCCUAAUACAUGCAAGUCGAGCGGUGACGGUUGGUACUUGUACCAACUGGAUGAGAAGCGAACGGGUGAGUAACGCGUGGGGAAUGUGCCUGUGAGCGGGGGACAACAUUUGGAAACGAAUGCUAAUACCGCAUAAGAACUUUAAACACAAGUUUUAAGGUUGAAAGAUGCAAUUGCAUCACUCAAAGGUGAACCCGCGUUGUAUUUGCUAGGUGGUGAGGGAAAGGCUCACCAAGGCGAUGAUACAUAGCCGACCUGCGAGGGUGGUCGGCCACAUUUGGACUGCGACACGGCCCAAACUCCUUCCGGGAGCAGCCGUAGGGAAUCUUCGGCCAUUGGCGGAAGUCUUGCCGCACCACGCCGCGGUAGUGGAGAAGGUUUUCGGGUCUUUAAACUCCGUUUGUAGGGAAGAACGCGGGUGUGAGUGGAAAGCGCAGCAAGUGACGGUACCGACCCAAAAAGCGCCGGCUAACUACGUG
Molecule: ribosomal RNA, 497 nt
Filed under: uncultured bacterium
Lineage: Bacteria
Description: partial 16S ribosomal RNA
Rfam family: Bacterial small subunit ribosomal RNA
Source: RNAcentral